RNAcentral lists this ribosomal RNA (875 nucleotides) under uncultured organism. Its description in RNAcentral is "bacterial SSU rRNA". It matches the Rfam family "Bacterial small subunit ribosomal RNA", at positions 9 to 873 of the family's 1533-position model. The record is from RNAcentral.
AGAGUUUGAUCCUGGCUCAGAUUGAACGCUGGCGGCAGGCUUAACACAUGCAAGUCGAGCGGAGAUGAGGUGCUUGCACCUUAUCUUAGCGGCGGACGGGUGAGUAAUGCUUAGGAAUCUGCCUAUUAGUGGGGGACAACAUUCCGAAAGGAAUGCUAAUACCGCAUACGUCCUACGGGAGAAAGCAGGGGAUCUUCGGACCUUGCGCUAAUAGAUGAGCCUAAGUCGGAUUAGCUAGUUGGUGGGGUAAAGGCCUACCAAGGCGACGAUCUGUAGCGGGUCUGAGAGGAUGAUCCGCCACACUGGGACUGAGACACGGCCCAGACUCCUACGGGAGGCAGCAGUGGGGAAUAUUGGACAAUGGGGGGAACCCUGAUCCAGCCAUGCCGCGUGUGCGAAGAAGGCCUUAUGGUUGUAAAGCACUUUAAGCGAGGAGGAGGCUACUGAGACUAAUACUCUUGGAUAGUGGACGUUACUCGCAGAAUAAGCACCGGCUAACUCUGUGCCAGCAGCCGCGGUAAUACAGAGGGUGCGAGCGUUAAUCGGAUUUACUGGGCGUAAAGCGUGCGUAGGCGGCUUUUUAAGUCGGAUGUGAAAUCCCCGAGCUUAACUUGGGAAUUGCAUUCGAUACUGGGAAGCUAGAGUAUGGGAGAGGAUGGUAGAAUUCCAGGUGUAGCGGUGAAAUGCGUAGAGAUCUGGAGGAAUACCGAUGGCGAAGGCAGCCAUCUGGCCUAAUACUGACGCUGAGGUACGAAAGCAUGGGGAGCAAUCAGGAUUAGAUACCCUGGUAGUCCAUGCCGUAAACGAUGUCUACUAGCCGUUGGGGCCUUUGAGGCUUUAGUGGCGCAGCUAACGCGAUAAUAGACCGCCUGGGA